GACGAACGCUGGCGGCGUGCCUAAUACAUGCAAGUCGAACGAGAGCGACCGGUGCUUGCACUGGUCAAUCUAGUGGCGAACGGGUGAGUAACACGUGGGUAACCUGCCCAUCAGAGGGGGAUAACAUUCGGAAACGGAUGCUAACACCGCAUAGGUCUUCGAACCGCAUGGUUUGAAGAGGAAAAGGGGCGCAAGCUUCUGCUGAUGGAUGGACCCGCGGUGCAUUAGCUAGUUGGUGAGGUAACGGCUCACCAAGGCCGUGAUGCAUAGCCGACCUGAGAGGGUGAUCGGCCACAUUGGGACUGAGACACGGCCCAAACUCCUACGGGAGGCAGCAGUAGGGAAUCUUCCGCAAUGGACGCAAGUCUGACGGAGCAACGCCGCGUGAGUGAAGAAGGUUUUCGGAUCGUAAAACUCUGUUGUUAGAGAAGAAUAAGUGCUAGAGUAACUGUUAGCGCCUUGACGGUAUCUAACCAGAAAGCCACGGCUAACUACGUG
RNAcentral lists this ribosomal RNA (498 nucleotides) under uncultured bacterium. Its description in RNAcentral is "partial 16S ribosomal RNA". It matches the Rfam family "Bacterial small subunit ribosomal RNA", at positions 28 to 507 of the family's 1533-position model. The record is from RNAcentral.